CAAACAUUAAUUUCAUGGUUCUUUAAUUAAAAGCAUGGUUGCUUUGCCAACGGCAGGCAAAUGUUGGCCUCUUGCAAGGUCAGUGAAUUUCUGUAGUUUUGGAUUUUAAAAAAUUGCUUGAAAACAGCUCCAUCUGCUGGCUGUUAAGGUUGGUUUUUUAUUUUCUCCUGCCCAACUUUGUCCAUUCCCCUCUGAACCUUCAAUGUAAUUUUACUAUUCAGCAUCAGCUCUCUUAAGUCUGGUCUGACACAGCAGCACAUAGAAUCCAUGUCUUAAAGGAUCAAAUCACAAAGGCUGUGUUAACACAGAGCCUACGUCAUAGCAUUUACAUUUGAAAUGGACAGAGUCUGUGCCAAAACUAAAUUUAGUUAGUUGCUGUAGUAGCCCCUUACCUUAUAUAUAUGUGUGUGUGUGUGUGUGUGUGUGUGUGUGUUUUACUACGGUCAGUGGGGUGGAUUUUUUUUUUCUUAUUAGGCUGCAUUUAAGAUUUUGUCUGGGUAGAUGACUCAUUGCUAGAAACUGCUGGUUGCAGUCUAAAUGUGUUUGUGUGUGUUGUAGAGUGAGGUGUAAUUAUAUUGAUUUAAAAUGGUAGAUAAGAACAAAGCCUAAUUACAUGAAUUGGCUUUAGCUGCAAAUAGUUGUUUGUGCUCCUUGCUACAAGAGAUAGCCUCUUCUGCCUCAUUUGCCAUAAAAGCUACAAAGCUGUUGGUAAAACAACAACACCACCAACACCACAGGGUUACACCAUUGCUGCUGCUGGGCCAAAAGACCUGAAAUCAGCAUCUCUUGUGGCAACAACAGUCAGUAUUUUUGGGCACCUGCUAAAACUCAUAUCAACAUCUUAGGAGGAGAGUGGCUUCUUCUUAGCAAGCAACAGGCCUCUAGCGUUGUUCACUACUCAGCUGUUGAAACAGUAUUUAAGUGUAGCAUAAGGAGUUUAUUUAUUUUGAGAAAAAUCUUUACUUUUCCAACUUUUAGAUUAUGGCUCCAGAUGAGCACUGUAACCUCUGGUGAGCUGGUUUAAAGUAAAGGGUAUGAAAGAUAUAACGAUAAGACUCUUGCCAAAUGGCACCCAGUGAAAGAAAAUGUGCAGGCAACAGCAUGAUGAAGCCUACAGGUUUUAUGUUAGUGCUACCAAUCACUCCUGGUCACUCACAGCAUUCUUGCUCAGAUUUGAGGGGAGGGGCAUUGGUGAAGCACAAGGUGCCCUCUCCCCCAUUUCACACACAGAAGCCAACUAGACUGGGCAGAUGACUCUUACUUCAGCACCGGCAAGAGGACAGCGUCCUCCUCUUGGCAGUUGGCUAGAUUAGGAUGCACAAGCUGGGCUGUGUCGAUACACCUGCUGCUCUGUCCAGCUUCUGGAAGCACUCUGCCUAAGGGUAGGACCAACUUGGGCUCUACUGAGCGCAUCUUGCCCAACCUCCCCCAAAUACCGGUAAUCUCUCAUCAACCCCUUUUGCAGCAGAGGGGGAAAGGAUUGCACGAUGAAUUGCAGAGAAAGAAGUGUUUCUUCUGGAAUGUGAGUCCAUCCAAUGAAACUAUGGGUGCUGGAAAUUUCAGGACGCAUAAAAGAAAGUGAAGAAUUCACACAAUGCAUAGUUAAACUGUAGAAUUUGCCCCUGCACGAGGUGGCGGGAGCCAUCAAUUUGAAUGGCUUGAAAAGAAGACGAGACGAAUUAGUGGAGAACAAAGCUAUCCAUAGCUACUAGGCACAUUGACUAUGGUCUCCCUCCACUGUUGGUAAUACAGGCAAUGACUGGCACAGCCAAAUGGUGCGUUAUUGCACAUGUGCACAGAGCACUGAACCCAGAAGUAACCCCAAAAUGUCAUAAAGUUGUCAUGGAAAGGAGCGGGGUGGGCUUACACGUGCUCCAGUGAUGCACAUGAGGGUCCAGAACGUAACCCUCACACAAAACAAGAAGUGCCUGUAUGUCUCAUAACUACCAGUUGCUGGGAAUCACAAGUGUGGAGAGUGCACCAGCAAGCAUCUAUCUGGUUGGCCGUUGUGAGAACAAGAUGAUAAGACUAUAUGGCCUGGUCUAGGAGAGAUCUGCUUAUGUUCUUAUUAUGAAGAUUGAUCUGAUUGAGCAGGGCUCUUAUGUCUUCUUUGGUUAUCAUUCGUAGCUGAGUAAGAUUGUCUUCCAUAAACAUGGUUUUAACAAUGAGUUCGUAAGUGACUGUGGAGGCCAAUUCUGGAUCCACACGUCCUUCCACAGUGGGGUUCAGGGAAAAAGGGAGGCAGACUAUGUUUAGGGCACCUUUUCUAGCCCCUCCCUCUUUUCAGGGUGAGCAGAGUGGAUCCUAAAAAGGGCUGCUCAGUCAUGGAUACAGCUGCUGAGCUGCUCAACUGCCUCGUUCCUUGAGUCAGAAUGACUGAAUCUGUAUCCACCACCCAUGUGCCGGUUCAUGAUUAGGGGCUUCCAGAUUUCACGAUCCUGCCCCCGUUACCAUUUGCUGGUUGCCAUGGGACUUUUGGAGUUUGGGUUUGGGAUGGGUUUUUGGAAGAUGCCUGUGUGUGAAUUUGUUUUAUGUGUGUAGAUCAGUGCACACAGACCAACACACAGUCUUCACAGUAAGGCUCUGUUCCGAUGGCAUGAGUAGUCAUGGCGACCAGUAGAUUCUUAUCUGCUGCAGCUUUCAUCUGCCUUCACAGCCAUUGUAACAUACCGUUUGUUAUCACCCGCCUGCUCUGCCAUUGAGGACAUCUUGGAUCAUUCAUUGUCUAGCUCCUUCCCUUUGACCUUACCACUUUGGGUGACUCUGCUGGGAGUACGAGAUUCCCGACGGCUUUGCUCACAAGGGUCAUAGGAACAUGCAAGCCCAUUCAUCAUGACAAGGUGAUGAUCCAGCACAUGAGGGCUCGUAUGCACUCGUGCUUUGAAUCAUUACACCUAAUCCUUACACCUUUUGAGUUGCAAUCUGAAGGCAGAGGCUCAUGUGACUCAAUUUUAAUAGACGAGGAGAAAUUCAAAAUUACCGUACUCCACACUUUUGUAGCUUAACUUGGAAUUGAAAUGGGGCUGGAAUCAUGUCUUUUGUUUCAGACAUCCCUUAGGCUUGCACAUUUGUCAUGUCUUUAUAUUCUGAUGAUAGCAACAUAGCCUCCAGCCUUCCACAGUGGAGCUCAUAGAGUUGCUCUAGUGAGAUUUCCAGGCUAAAGUCACCUCUGUAGGAAGACUAUGUCAAGUUACUACAAUGAAAUGAUAAAAGAAAGUUACAGAUGCAAGUCAUGCAAACCAAUUGUGUCUAGAAAUGUGUCUGGAAAAUCAGACAUAUUUUUAUGAAGUAAUGCUUUAAACCAUUUGUCAGGGGAGGGGAACAUUUCCAGCAUUGUAACAUGUCAGAUAACAAACACCCUUGAUCUUAAACUUUUAAAAUUGUAAUGUACAUGGUUUACAAUGUUGUAAAUGGAUUAAAGGGGGAAUUUUUUUUAGGUGCUGUAAAUCCCUGUUCUUUUAGGUAGUCAGAUGGAGGUCUUCACCGCUGGCAUAUUACUUUCUCUGAGUGAAGAUGGGGUCAGGCUCUGACUUCAUCAGAAUCUUGUGCUCAGUGUGAAGCAGAUGAUUGGUGCCAACCGCAAAUCCCACUUGUGUUACAGAUUGACUUACCUCAGAAGUAGUCAACCCCAGCAAGACCAGCAGUUACCACCCAAUUUAAAAGGUGCUGAAUAUAAGCCUCCCUUUCCAUUAUUAUUAUUAUUAUUAUUAUUCCGCCCUAUACCUGGAGGUUCACAGAAUAAAAUCAGAAUAUAAAACCACAAAAUACAUAAUCAAAAUAAAAACAACAACCCAAUAACCCCUUCCGAAAAACCUGACAUUUUAAAAGGGCCUAGGAUGUCAAUCACUCAACCAAAGGCCAAGUUAAAAAGGUGUAUAAUGAAGGCGCCUAAAGGUGUAUAAUGAAGGUGCCAGGUAACUUCCCUGGGGAGAACAUUCCACAGAUGGGGAGCCACUGCAGAAAAGGCCCGUUCUCAUGUUGCCACCCUCCGGAUUUCUUGAGAAGGAGGCAAACCAAGAAGGGCCUCAGAAGAUGAUCUCAGGGUCCAGGUAGGUUCAUAUGGAAAGAGGCGGUCCUUGGGGUAUUGUGGUCCUGAGUAGUUUAAGGCUUAUAGGUUAAAACCAGCACUUUGAAUUGGGCCGCAAAACUAAUUAGUAGCCAGUGCAGUUGGACCAGGAUCAGUGUAAUAUGCUCAAACCAGUGAGCAACCUGGCCACUGAAGGCUGCAAUAGCUGAAGUUUCCAAACCAUCUUCAUAGGCAGCCCUAUGUAUAAAGCAUUGCAGUAAUCUAACCUUGAGGUUACCAGAGCAUAGACAACAGUAUUUAAGCUAUCCCUGUCCAGAUAGGGGCAUAGCUGAGCCACCAGCCAAAGCUGAUGGAAGGCACUCUGGGCCCAAGCUAUGAACCUCUUUCAGAGGAAGUGUAACCCCAUUGAGCAGGCAAUCUCCCACCCAUCUGGUCUAGGGAACCACACACUAACAGUGCCUCAGUCUUAUCUGGAUUGAGUUUCAGUUUGUUGGCUCUCAUCCAGUCCAUUACCAAGGUAAGACACUUGGUCCACCGCUUCCACUGCCUCACCGGCAGAUGUAAAGGAGAAAUAGAGCUGAGUGUCGUCAUCAUACUGCUGACAAUGUACUCCGAACCUCCAGAUAACCCCAUCCAGUGGUUUCAUGUAGAUAUUAAACAACAUGGGGGAUAGGAUUGAGCCCUCGGAACCCCAUGUUGAAGCAUUCCCCAAGCAACACCCUCUGGGAAUGACCAUCCAAGUAGGACUGGAACCACCGCAAAGUGGUGCCACCACCCCUAGUUCAGACAGUUGCUCCAGAAGGAUACCAUGGUUGAUGGUAUUGAAAGCCGCUGAGAAGUCGAGAAGUAACAGGGAUAUGUUUCCCUUGUCUCUCUGUUGACAGAGGUAACCAUACAGGGUGACCAAAGCAGUUUCUGUGCCAAACCUGGGCCUAAACCCUAAUUGAAAUUGAUCCAGAAAAUCAGUUUCUUCCAAAAGCGCCUGGAUCUGGUCUGCAACCACUCACUCCAGAACCUUGCUCAGGAAAGGGAGAUUAGCAACUGGCCAGUAGUUAGUUAGAUUUUCCGAAUCCAGGGAAGGUUUCUUAAGGAGUGGUUUCUGGCUGCCUCCUUCAAACAGGCAGGGACCACCCCCUCUAGUAAAGAGGCAUUGACUGUCACCCUGGUCCAGCCAGCUGUUCCUUCCCUGUUGCUUUUUAUCAGCCAAGAGGGGCAAGGGUCUAGAGCGCAAGCCCUGACCGACCUGAGCACCUUGUUCACAUCCUCGAGCCUUACCAACUGAGCCUUUCCUUGGAACAAUCAGGAGUGCAGUCCCAAGUACUCCUUUGCAGCCACACAUUUACCUGUUCCAUGUGACAGAUGUAGGUCAGGUGGUUCUGGCUUGGGCAAAACAGCUUCCCUAGCCACCCUUGCUUAGGCCAAAUUUCUGGCUCAAAGUCUUAUUGUGCACUCUAAAUGCUGCCUUUAAGAUGCACACAAGACAAAGUUAGAUGGUUUUAAUAAUAAUAAUAAAUCUCUAAGAUGACCAGUAGUCAGUCUUUUUCCCUCCAGGAUGGUACCUCCUCCUGUUUGGAAGAAAGGUUGAAUGGUGUCUUCACCAGGGAAAGGAGAACCCAGGAUGCAGAGUCUUUAUGAAGCUGUGUUAAAUAAAGCUCCCUUUCUCCUCCAUCCCUCAUGACAGCAAAUUAGAAACUUGUGAAGCUGCCAUUGGUCUACCUAGCUCUGUACUGUCAUGAUAAGGACUGGCAGUGGCUCUUCAUGAUUUCAGAAAGGAGAGUCUCAGAUUUAUACCUGGAGAUAUUAGAACCUUAUGUUCCACCACUGAGCUACAUCCUAUCAUGUCAAGUCUGGAGGUUCGACAUGACCCAUCUUCUGUGCAGACAUAUAGAGCACAACAGCACUGUAAUGUCAAUUUCACACCUUCUCCCCACUCUGUCCUAGGCUGAAAUAGCUCCAGGAGCCUUUUCAAAAGAUAAAUGCCAAGGUUGGACCAGCAUUAUCUCCCAAAGCCUGGAAUCACAAAAGCUACAAAAAAAAGUCAAUAAAAUCUCUGGCAGUACUGCAGAAAUUGCAAAGUCAAUCCCAGGCACAAAGUUCAGGAACAAGAGGAAAGGUUCAGCCUGCAGUCUCUAAUUGAGAGUCUCAAUGCCCUGAAGGCUAGAGUCACUGCUUCAGUUAAGGAGCUGCCCAGGAACUGGCCUAAGGGAAUUGCUGGGAGGGAACAGAGAGUCUGGCUAAUUGGAUAUGAUGAAGGUAUGCUCUUGAUUUAAAGCUUCAGGGGAAAGCAGCAGCAGCAUCCCUUUUGAAGAAGGAAGAUACCAAACAGUCCUUACAUCAUCAGUCAUGUCCUUCCCCACCAUUUCAUCAACAGACAAAUUGCAUUCUUCAAGGUAACUGCCAUUGCUCCCAUCAGAGAGGAACAUUUCACUGGAUGUUAAAGCCAUCACAAAUAUUAUGGAACAAACCAGAGCUGGAAAUAAAUUACAUCUAUC
RNAcentral lists this long non-coding RNA (6519 nucleotides) under Podarcis lilfordi (Lilford's wall lizard). The record is from RNAcentral. Lineage: Eukaryota; Metazoa; Chordata; Lepidosauria; Squamata; Lacertidae.